AAGUCGUAACAAGGUUUCCGUAGGUGAACCUGCGGAAGGAUCAUUACCGAAUUGUCAACACGAGUUGUUGCUGGUCCUCAAACGGGGGCAUGUGCACGCUCUGUUCACACAUCCACUCACACCUGUGCACACUCUGUAGUUCUAUGGCCUAGGGGACUCUGUCCUCUUGCCGUGGUUCUAUGUCUUUACACACACACUGUAAUAAAGUCUUAUGGAAUGCAUGUCGCGUUUAACGCAAUACAAUACAACUUUCAGCAACGGAUCUCUUGGCUCUCGCAUCGAUGAAGAACGCAGCGAAAUGCGAUAAGUAAUGUGAAUUGCAGAAUUCAGUGAAUCAUCGAAUCUUUGAACGCACCUUGCGCCCUUUGGCCAUUCCGAAGGGCAUGCCUGUUUGAGUAUCAUGAACACCUCAACUCUUCAUGGUUUUCCAUGAUGAGCUUGGACUUUGGGGGUUUUGCUGGCCUAUGGUCAGCUCCCCUAAAAUGAAUCAGCUUGCCAGUGUUUGGUGGGCAUCACAGGUGUGAUAACUAUCUACGCUUGUGGUUUUCCACCAGGUAGCCUCCAGCAGUGGAGGUUCACUGGAGCUCACAGAUGUCUCUCCUCAGUGAGGACAGCCCUUUGAAUGUUUGAUCUCAAAUCAGGUAGGACUACCCGCUGAACUUAA
RNAcentral lists this ribosomal RNA (664 nucleotides) under uncultured Tomentella. RNAcentral describes it as "eukaryotic LSU rRNA". The stretch from base 247 to 401 matches the Rfam family "5.8S ribosomal RNA". The record is from RNAcentral. Lineage: Eukaryota; Fungi; Basidiomycota; Agaricomycetes; Thelephorales; Thelephoraceae.